GUCAACGAUAAUUGUACGAAUUUAUGAAAUUAUUUCAUUGUCUUUUCUCCAAAAUAUUUGUGCCAAAAUCCAAAUUAAUUAAUUAAUUAUUGAAGUGCUUCAAGAUUCUGUAUAUACACGUGUAAUUUAUGGUAAUCCUUAAAAUUUGAUCAGCAUAAUCAAAUAAAUUUAUGAAAUUAUUGUUUUGUUAUCGGUCUAUGAUAGGUGUGCUAAGUUUCAACUCAAUCCGACUUUUUGAAAUAGUGCGUUCAGCAGUUAUCUAAAACGCCAUCUCCAUACUAUAGGCAUCACUAACGAUCCGGAAUGCCACUGGUGGAUGGAGGACAAAAAAUACAAAUCAUGUCAUCGGUGAGUGCCCACCACUGACCCGUGCUAGCUUCAAACACUUAGAAAAGCCUUACAGCUUGCCCAGUGAUUUUAAAAGAUUUAAACUGAUAAACUGAUAAUCUUUUCAAAAGACAUUGGAUUUUGAUAGUUUCAAGUGUCCAGUACGAGUCUAUCACAAGUCUAUGUGCGCAACGGACCCCGACCACCCACUUACCUACCUAUCAUCUAUGAAUAGUGAGAAACCUUCAGAGAAUAUGACUAUUUAUUGAUUGAAGUUUUCGUGA
Long non-coding RNA from Diorhabda sublineata, 611 nucleotides. RefSeq lists it as uncharacterized. The record is from RefSeq and is a predicted model, not a curated record. The transcript has 2 exons. Lineage: Eukaryota; Metazoa; Arthropoda; Insecta; Coleoptera; Chrysomelidae.